AGGUCAUCAAGAGCAGUUAAGAGACCCGGCUCUGUGAAGCUGCAGCAACCCGCCAGACGGGUGCUAAGGCCGGGAACGAUGGGAGAUCAAUGAUCG
This 96-nucleotide non-coding RNA is filed under the name Trueperella pyogenes. Its description in RNAcentral is "SAM-I sequence". It matches the Rfam family "SAM riboswitch aptamer (S box leader)". Rfam says of the family: The SAM riboswitch is found upstream of a number of genes which code for proteins involved in methionine or cysteine biosynthesis in Gram-positive bacteria. The SAM riboswitch acts at the level of transcription termination control. The predicted structure consists of a complex stem-loop region followed by a single stem loop terminator region. Lineage: Bacteria; Bacillati; Actinomycetota; Actinomycetes; Actinomycetales; Actinomycetaceae. The record is from RNAcentral.